RNAcentral lists this ribosomal RNA (432 nucleotides) under uncultured bacterium. RNAcentral describes it as "partial 16S ribosomal RNA". It matches the Rfam family "Bacterial small subunit ribosomal RNA", at positions 29 to 506 of the family's 1533-position model. The record is from RNAcentral.
AACGAACGCUGGCGGCAGGCCUAACACAUGCAAGUCGAGCGAGCAUUUCGGUGCUAGCGGCGGACGGGUGAGUAACGCGUGGGAACGUGCCCUUUUCUGCGGAAUAGUCCUGGGAAACUGGGGGUAAUACCGCAUACGCCCUUUUGGGGAAAGAUUUAUCGGAGAAGGAUCGGCCCGCGUUGGAUUAGGUAGUUGGUGGGGUAAUGGCCCACCAAGCCGACGAUCCAUAGCUGGUUUGAGAGGAUGAUCAGCCACACUGGGACUGAGACACGGCCCAGACUCCUACGGGAGGCAGCAGGGGGGAAUCUUAGACAAUGGGGGCAACCCUGAUCUAGCCAUGCCGCGUGAGUGAUGAAGGCCUUAGGGUUGUAAAGCUCUUUCAGCUGGGAAGAUAAUGACGGUACCAGCAGAAGAAGCCCCGGCUAACUCCGU